RNAcentral lists this ribosomal RNA (274 nucleotides) under uncultured bacterium. RNAcentral describes it as "partial 16S ribosomal RNA". It matches the Rfam family "Bacterial small subunit ribosomal RNA", at positions 523 to 796 of the family's 1533-position model. The record is from RNAcentral.
AUACGGAGGGUCCAAGCGUUAUCCGGAAUCAUUGGGUUUAAAGGGUCCGCAGGCGGUCAAUUAAGUCAGAGGUGAAAGCCCAUCGCUCAACGAUGGAACUGCCUUUGAUACCGGUUGACUUGAGUUAUACGGAAGUAGAUAGAAUAAGUAGAGUAGCGGUGAAAUGCAUAGAUAUUACUUAGAAUACCGAUUGCGAAGGCAGUCUACUACGUAUAUACUGACGCUGAGGGACGAAAGCGUGGGGAGCGAACAGGAUUAGAAACCCCAGUAGUCC